AGCGAACGCUGGCGGUAGGCCUAACACAUGCAAGUCGAACGAACCUUUCGGGGUUAGUGGCGGACGGGUGAGUAACACGUGGGAACGUGCCUUUAGGUUCGGAAUAACUCAGGGAAACUUGUGCUAAAACCGAAUGUGCCCUUCGGGGGAAAGAUUUAUCGCCUUUAGAGCGGCCCGCGUCUGAUUAGCUAGUUGGUUGAGGUAAUGGCUCACCAAGGCGACGAUCAGUAGCUGGUCUGAGAGGAUGAUCAGCCACAUUGGGACUGAGACACGGCCCAAACUCCUACGGGAGGCAGCAGUGGGGAAUCUUGCGCAAUGGGCGAAAGCCUGACGCAGCCAUGCCGCGUGAAUGAUGAAGGUCUUAGGAUUGUAAAAUUCUUUCACCGGGGACGAUAAUGACGGUACCCGGAGAAGAAGCCCCGGCUAACUUCGUG
RNAcentral lists this ribosomal RNA (434 nucleotides) under uncultured bacterium. Its description in RNAcentral is "partial 16S ribosomal RNA". It matches the Rfam family "Bacterial small subunit ribosomal RNA", at positions 29 to 507 of the family's 1533-position model. The record is from RNAcentral.